GCAAGUCGAGGGGCAGCAUGAUUGAAGCUUGCUUCAAUUGAUGGCGACCGGCGCACGGGUGAGUAACGCGUAUCCAACCUUCCGUACACUCAGGGAUAGCCUUUCGAAAGAAAGAUUAAUACCCGAUGGUAUGAUGAGAUUGCAUGAUAGCAUCAUUAAAGAUUUAUCGGUGUACGAUGGGGAUGCGUUCCAUUAGGUAGUAGGCGGGGUAACGGCCCACCUAGCCGACGAUGGAUAGGGGUUCUGAGAGGAAGGUCCCCCACAUUGGAACUGAGACACGGUCCAAACUCCUACGGGAGGCAGCAGUGAGGAACAUUGGUCAAUGGACGAGAGUCUGAACCAGCCAAGUAGCGUGAAGGAUGAAGGUCCUACGGAUUGUAAACUUCUUUUAUAAGGGAAUAAAACCUCCCACGUGUGGGAGCUUGUAUGUACCUUAUGAAUAAGCAUCGGCUAACUCCGUGCCAGCAGCCGCGGUAAUACGGAGGAUGCGAGCGUUAUCCGGAUUUAUUGGGUUUAAAGGGAGCGCAGACGGGUCGUUAAGUCAGCUGUGAAAGUUUGGGGCUCAACCUUAAAAUUGCAGUUGAUACUGGCGUCCUUGAGUGCGGUUGAGGUGUGCGGAAUUCGUGGUGUAGCGGUGAAAUGCUUAGAUAUCACGAAGAACUCCGAUUGCGAAGGCAGCACACUAAGCCGUAACUGACGUUCAUGCUCGAAAGUGUGGGUAUCAAACAGGAUUAGAUACC
RNAcentral lists this ribosomal RNA (740 nucleotides) under uncultured bacterium. RNAcentral's name for it is "bacterial SSU rRNA". It matches the Rfam family "Bacterial small subunit ribosomal RNA", at positions 57 to 786 of the family's 1533-position model. The record is from RNAcentral.